RNAcentral lists this ribosomal RNA (449 nucleotides) under uncultured bacterium. Its description in RNAcentral is "partial 16S ribosomal RNA". It matches the Rfam family "Bacterial small subunit ribosomal RNA", at positions 29 to 523 of the family's 1533-position model. The record is from RNAcentral.
AGCGAACGCUGGCGGCAGGCCUAACACAUGCAAGUCGAACGAACUCUUCGGAGUUAGUGGCGGACGGGUGAGUAACACGUGGGAACGUGCCCUUAGGUUCGGAAUAACUCAGGGAAACUUGUGCUAAUACCGAAUGUGCCCUUCGGGGGAAAGAUUUAUCGCCUUUAGAGCGGCCCGCGUCUGAUUAGCUAGUUGGUGAUGUAAAGGCUAACCAAGGCGACGAUCAGUAGCUGGUCUGAGAGGAUGAUCAGCCACAUUGGGACUGAGACACGGCCCAAACUCCUACGGGAGGCAGCAGUGGGGAAUCUUGCGCAAUGGGCGAAAGCCUGACGCAGCCAUGCCGCGUGAAUGAUGAAGGUCUUAGGAUUGUAAAAUUCUUUCACCGGGGACGAUAAUGACGGUACCCGGAGAAGAAGCCCCGGCUAACUUCGUGCCAGCCGCCGCCGUAA